This 855-nucleotide ribosomal RNA is filed under the name uncultured Verrucomicrobiae bacterium. RNAcentral describes it as "bacterial SSU rRNA". It matches the Rfam family "Bacterial small subunit ribosomal RNA", at positions 58 to 901 of the family's 1533-position model. Lineage: Bacteria; Pseudomonadati; Verrucomicrobiota; Verrucomicrobiia. The record is from RNAcentral.
CAAGUCGAACGGGUUUAGUUCGGUAGCAAUACUGGAUUGAGCCAGUGGCGAACGGGUGCGUAACACGUGAGUCAUCUGCCUGAAAGUGGGGGAUAGCUCGCCGAAAGGCGAAUUAAUACCGCAUGUGCCCCGAAGCAAUUCGGGGUAAAGCCGGGGUAACCUGGCGCUUUUAGAGGAACUCGCGGCCUAUCAGCUUGUUGGUAAGGUAACGGCUUACCAAGGCUUCGACGGGUAGCUGGUCUGAGAGGACGACCAGCCACACUGGAACUGAGACACGGUCCAGACACCUACGGGUGGCAGCAGUCGAGAAUUUUUCUCAAUGGGGGAAACCCUGAAGGAGCGACGCCGCGUGGAGGAUGAAUGCUUUCGGGUUGUAAACUCCUGUCAUUUGGGAACAAAGCCUUACGUUAACUGCGUGAGGUUUGAUAGUACCAGAAGAGGAAGAGACGGCUAACUCUGUGCCAGCAGCCGCGGUAAUACAGAGGUCUCAAGCGUUGUUCGGAUUCAUUGGGCGUAAAGGGCGCGUAGGCUGCGGGGCAAGUCGGGUGUGAAAUCUCAGAGCUCAACUCUGAAACUGCACUCGAUACUGCUUUGCUUGAGGACUGGAGAGGAGAUUGGAAUUCACGGUGUAGCAGUGAAAUGCGUAGAUAUCGUGAGGAAGACCAGUGGCGAAGGCGGAUCUCUGGACAGUUCCUGACGCUGAGGCGCGAAGGCCAGGGGAGCAAACGGGAUUAGAUACCCCGGUAGUCCUGGCAGUAAACGGUGCACGUUUGGUGUGCGCGGAUUCGACCCCGUGCGUGCCGGAGCUAACGCGUUAAACGUGCCGCCUGAGGAGUACGGUCGCAAGAUUAAACU